GGAGUGUGUAACAACUCACCUGCCGAAUGAAGCAGCCCCGAAAAUGGAUGACGCUUUUUCAUGAGAAGUAUGCUGGACCAUAUCGCGAAACAUUACGUGCGGUAUGAGUAGGAGGGUGUCUAUUGCAUAGUUAAGGUUAUGAUUGAUCACAACUGGAGUGCAAUUGGGUACAGAUCUUGGUGAUAGUAGCAACUAUUCACAACACCAUUGUGAAUGCUUAUGCAGAGAAAGGUUCCAUGUGAACAGAAAUUGGACAUGGGUUAAUCGAUCCUAAGCAGAAUGAAAGAUCACAUUAUAGUUUAAUCACACUGCAACAGGGAAAUGUAUCGUGUUUACCAUAUCUGGUCUGCCAUUGCACCUGGUAACGGAGGGUGUGUCAGGUACGUCAUUGUGUGGGAUGUGAGGUGUUGUCUUUACUUCUUAACUGUGGGUAAGCCUGGAAGUGUGCCAAACAGAGAUAGGUGCUUCGCACAGAAAGUAGACCCCGCAUUACGGUGUUUGCGAUCUUCACACAAUGACGCCUCAAAAUCUGACGCGCCAUAUGCAGUGCAGCAGGUUGUACUAAUAUCCGCAUCAGGUCUCUAAGGUGAGUAGCCUCUGGUACGUAGAUUCAUGUGAGUAAGGGAAGUCGGCAACUUGGUUCCGUAUCCUUGGGAAAAGGAAUGGCUCUGACGAUUGAGCGGUAAGGUCUCUGCGCAGAGUACCAGACAGAUGCGCGCGCUGCGAUGUUCUUCACCGGAUAUCAUGGCGAGCAGCAAAUGCCUUGUGAAUGUGUAGUGAUAGGAUCUUCCGGCUUGCCGCAACGAACAAUUACCUCAGAACCGAUACGAUCAAGGGGAAUCCGACUGUUUAAUCAAAACAAAGCAUUACGAUUCUCAUAGCUGGGUUUGACGUAAUGUGAUUUCUGCCCAGUGCUCUGAAUGUCAAAGUGAAGAAAUUCGACCAAGCGCGGGUAAACGGCGGGAGUAACUAUGACUCUCUUAAGGUAGCCAAAUGCCUCGUCAUCUAACUUGUGACGCGCAUGAAUGGAUUAAUGAGAUUCCCACUGUCCCUAUCCACUGUCUAGCGAACCCACAGCCAAGGGAACGGGCUUGGAAUAAUCAGCGGGGAAAGAAGACCCUGUUGAGCUUGACUCUAGUUUGACGUUGUGGAUCGACUCAUGAGGUGUAGAAUAAGUGGGAGACCCGUCAACCUUGAAAUACCACUACUCGUGUUGUCUUUUUACUUAAUUCGUGACGUAGUGACUGGUCAACCGAUAACGUUGCUCAGUUCUGGAGCGUAAGUCUUUUUUUUACUAAAAGGAUGAUCUACGCGAAUGACAGCAUCAGGUGGGGAGUUUGGCUGGGGCGGCACAUCUGUAAAACGAUAACACAGGUGUCCUAAGUCGAGCUCAAUGAGAACAGAAAUCUCAUGUAGAAC
RNAcentral lists this ribosomal RNA (1419 nucleotides) under Schmidingerella taraikaensis. RNAcentral describes it as "partial Eukaryotic large subunit ribosomal RNA". It matches the Rfam family "Eukaryotic large subunit ribosomal RNA", at positions 1275 to 2702 of the family's 3401-position model. The record is from RNAcentral. Lineage: Eukaryota; Ciliophora; Spirotrichea; Tintinnida; Rhabdonellidae.